This 295-nucleotide ribosomal RNA is filed under the name Triticum aestivum (bread wheat). RNAcentral describes it as "partial small subunit ribosomal RNA". Lineage: Eukaryota; Viridiplantae; Streptophyta; Magnoliopsida; Poales; Poaceae. The record is from RNAcentral.
GGCGGCGAGGAGCGAGGGGCUGCGGUUGUGGAUGGGGAUUGGACUGGACCGCGGCCAGGAAGAAAAUUAAGGAAAGCAGCACAAGAAAAGCUCAGAAAGAUGAUCAAACCAAAUAGGGAAAUCCGGGGGUCUCCGGGCAGCAGAGGAUGGCCGGGAUGAGAUCCCCCGCCGCGGGAGACGGGGGCAGAGGGCGAGAGUUGGCGGCUGCGGAUGGGUUAUUUGGUGAUUGCGGGUGGGACUUUAACGCGUGGUUGUUUGGAGAAGAGACGAAGUUAAUGCGGCAUCAACAUUUUCC